Molecule: ribosomal RNA, 515 nt
Filed under: uncultured bacterium
Lineage: Bacteria
Description: bacterial SSU rRNA
Rfam family: Bacterial small subunit ribosomal RNA
Source: RNAcentral
GAUUAUGGCUCAGAACGAACGCUGGCGGCGCGUCUUAAGCAUGCAAGUCGAACGGCAAGAGGUAGCAAUACCUCCUAGAGUGGCGGACUGGUGAGUAACACGUGGGUGACAUACCCUUCAGAUGGGGAUAGCUAUUAGAAAUAGUAGAUAAUACCGAAUACGAGCACAGGGGUUAGAGAUCUGUGAGGAAAGGAGCUAAGGCUCCGCUGAAGGAAUGGCCUGCGGCCCAUUAGCUAGUUGGUGAGGUAAGAGCCCACCAAGGCGAUGAUGGGUAUCCGGCCUUAGAGGGUGAACGGACACAUUGGGACUGAGAUACGGCCCAGACUCCUACGGGAGGCAGCAGCUAAGAAUAUUCCGCAAUGGACGAAAGUCUGACGGAGCGACGCCGCGUGGAAUGGAGAAGGCCGGAAGGUUGUAAAAUCCUUUUGAAACUGAAGAAUAAGCGUUGUAGGGAAUGACAGCGUGGUGACAGUAGGUUUUGAAUAAGCAACGGCUAAUUACGUGCCAGCAGCCGC